RNAcentral lists this ribosomal RNA (497 nucleotides) under uncultured bacterium. RNAcentral describes it as "partial 16S ribosomal RNA". It matches the Rfam family "Bacterial small subunit ribosomal RNA", at positions 28 to 507 of the family's 1533-position model. The record is from RNAcentral.
GAUGAACGCUGGCGGCGUGCCUAAUACAUGCAAGUCGAGCGAACAGACGAGGAGCUUGCUCCUCUGACGUUAGCGGCGGACGGGUGAGUAACACGUGGAUAACCUACCUAUAAGACUGGGAUAACUUCGGGAAACCGGAGCUAAUACCGGAUAAUAUAUUGAACCGCAUGGUUCAAUAGUGAAAGACGGUUUUGCUGUCACUUAUAGAUGGAUCCGCGCCGCAUUAGCUAGUUGGUAAGGUAACGGCUUACCAAGGCGACGAUGCGUAGCCGACCUGAGAGGGUGAUCGGCCACACUGGAACUGAGACACGGUCCAGACUCCUACGGGAGGCAGCAGUAGGGAAUCUUCCGCCCUGGGCGCCCGCCUGCCGGCGCCCCGCCGCGUGAGUGAUGAAGGUCUUCGGAUCGUAAAACUCUGUUAUUAGGGAAGAACAAAUGUGUCAGUAACUAUGCCCGUCUUGACGGUACCUAAUCAGAAAGCCACGGCUCACUACGUG